CGGUUGAUCCUGCCGGAGGUUACUGCUAUCGGUGUUUGCCUAAGCCAUGCGAGUCAAAUGUUCUUCGUGAACAUGGCAUACUGCUCAGUAACACGUGGAUAACCUGCCCUCAGGUCUGGCAUAACCCCGGGAAACUGGGGAUAAUUCCGGAUAACGCAUAUAUGCUGGAAUGCUUUAUGCGUCAAAGGUCCUCCGCCUGAGGAUGGGUCUGCGGCCUAUCAGGUAGUAGCGGGUGUAAUGUACCUGCUAGCCGACGACGGGUACGGGUUGUGAGAGCAAGAGCCCGGAGAUGGAUUCUGAGACAUGAAUCCAGGCCCUACGGGGCGCAGCAGGCGCGAAAACUUUACAAUGCGGGAAACCGUGAUAAGGGGACACCGAGUGCCAGCAACAUUUGCUGGCUGUCCACGUGUGUAAACUACACGUGUUAGCAAGGGCCGGGCAAGACCGGUGCCAGCCGCCGCGGUAACACCGGCGGCCCGAGUGGUGAUCGUUAUUAUUGGGUCUAAAGGGUCCGUAGCCGGUUUGGUCAGUCUUCCGGGAAAUCUGUCAGCUCAACUGAUAGGCUAUCGGGGGAUACUGCUAGACUUGGAGCCGGGAGAGGUAAGAGGUACUACAGGGGUAGGAGUGAAAUCUUGUAAUCCCUGUGGGACCACCUGUGGCGAAGGCGUCUUACCAGAACGGGUUCGACGGUGAGGGACGAAAGCUGGGGGCACGAACCGGAUUAGAUACCCGGGUAGUCCCAGCCGUAAACGAUGCUCGCUAGGUGUCAUGCAUGGUGCGACCGUGUAUGGUGCCGUAGGGAAGCCGUGAAGCGAGCCACCUGGGAAGUACGGCCGCAAGGCUGAAACUUAAAGGAAUUGGCGGGGGAGCAC
RNAcentral lists this ribosomal RNA (872 nucleotides) under uncultured archaeon. RNAcentral describes it as "bacterial SSU rRNA". It matches the Rfam family "Archaeal small subunit ribosomal RNA", at positions 5 to 879 of the family's 1478-position model. The record is from RNAcentral.